UGGGGAAUAUUGGACAAUGGGGGCGACCCUGAUCCAGCCAUGCCGCGUGUGUGAAGAAGGCCUUUUGGUUGUAAAGCACUUUAAGCAGGGAGGAGAGGCUAAUGGUUAAUACCCAUUAGAUUAGACGUUACCUGCAGAAUAAGCACCGGCUAACUCUGUGCCAGCAGCCGCGGUAAUACAGAGGGUGCGAGCGUUAAUCGGAAUUACUGGGCGUAAAGCGAGUGUAGGUGGCUCAUUAAGUCACAUGUGAAAUCCCCGGGCUUAACCUGGGAACUGCAUGUGAUACUGGUGGUGCUAGAAUAUGUGAGAGGGAAGUAGAAUUCCCAGGUGUAGCGGUGAAAUGCGUAGAGAUCUGGAGGAAUACCGAUGGCGAAGGCAGCUUCCUGGCAUAAUAUUGACACUGAGAUUCGAAAGCGUGGGUAGCAAAACAGGAUUAGAUACCCUGGUAGUCCACGCCGUAAACGAUGUCUACUAGCCGUUGGGGUCCUUGAGACUUUAGUGGCGCAGUUAACGCGAUAAGU
RNAcentral lists this ribosomal RNA (521 nucleotides) under uncultured bacterium. RNAcentral's name for it is "partial 16S ribosomal RNA". It matches the Rfam family "Bacterial small subunit ribosomal RNA", at positions 355 to 865 of the family's 1533-position model. The record is from RNAcentral.